Molecule: long non-coding RNA, 1266 nt
Filed under: Mytilus galloprovincialis (Mediterranean mussel)
Lineage: Eukaryota; Metazoa; Mollusca; Bivalvia; Mytilida; Mytilidae
Source: RNAcentral
GAGUUGUCCUGUCAAGUUGAUCCUUGUCCAGUGGAGUUGAUCCCUGUCCAGUCAAGUUGAUCCUUGUCCAGUGGAUUUGAUCCCUGUCCAGGCAGGCUGUUGUUAUAGGUAAGUACAUCAUAUGUGAACUAUAUAGGAUCAUUUUAAUACUGAAAUUUGUUUCGAAUGUAAAAUAUUCAAACUCUAUAAGGGGAGAUAAUCAACUAAAUAGUUUCAACAUUCAUAUAAUACCCAAGACCAAUAUUUUAUAGUAGAUGAGACACACACGAACAUGACAUCAUUGCAAAAUUAUUUUUCUUAAAAAAUACAAAUGAAAUAGAAAGGUUAAACUUAUGUGUGAACUUUGGGUAAAGGAUAGAAAAAAAUGAGUGCUAAGGCUACAUUGUGUACAUCACACUGAUAUCAACCCUAUAUUAAACAGGUACAACACAACAUUAUAACUCCCGCAAUAUUUCAACAGUAUAUAUCGAUGAGAACGCAACCCAACAAAGCAAGAACUAUAAGAAGCAAGGAAAUAUGUAGAGGUCAAUAUAUAGUCAAUAAAUACAUAAUUCUUCAAAUGACAAGGUCUAGAUUUUCAUGACGCUGGCCAUACAAGUAAGGGUUUAUUCUUGUUAAUCAUUUGUUAAUGAAAUAAUUGAAAAAUAUACCUUUAUUGUUCAUAGUUAUUUUGUUGAAACAGGAAAUAUUACACAAACAUUGAUAUGUUUAUAAGAUAAAGAAAAAUUCAUAUAUAUCACAACAGUUACUGAAAAAAGAAGUACCGAUAUAAAGUAUUUUGAAGUGAUUCAUAUAUUUUACAUAUAUCAGGCUUAAACAAGUAAAUAAUGAUUUAGAAAUAUUUUUCAGAGAUGCUUUAGAUGAUGGCACAUUCUUACUGAUAAAUUCAGCUGACCUCAGUUUUCAUCAAAUUAGUAUGUAUUGUAUCAUAUAUAUGUUUUAGUUCACCUUGGCAUACUCAUCACUUAGCGUCAGUUGUCUAUCGUUGUUGUUGUUAAAUUUUACAAAAAUCCUCUCCUCUGAAACUACUGGGACAAAUUAAACCAAACUUGGCCACAAUCAUCAUUAGAGUAAUCUAGUUUUAAAAAUGUGUCAGAUGACCCUGCCUGCAAACCAACAUGGCGGACAUGGCUAAAAAUAGAACAUUGGUGUAAAAUAUAAGUUGUGUCUAUUAUCUGAAAAAAUGCUUUGCAUAGAGAAAAUCUGAAAAGGGACAGAAAUUUUCAGAAUGUUGAGAGCUGCCUGCUGUUUAUUUACAUCAAAACU